GGGGGAUAUUGCGCAAUGGGGGCAACCCUGACGCAGCAACGCCGCGUGAAGGAUGAAGGUUUUCGGAUUGUAAACUUCUUUUAUUAAGGACGAAAAAUGACGGUACUUAAUGAAUAAGCUCCGGCUAACUACGUGCCAGCAGCCGCGGUAAUACGUAGGGAGCAAGCGUUGUCCGGAUUUACUGGGUGUAAAGGGUGCGUAGGCGGCUUUGCAAGUCAGAUGUGAAAUCUAUGGGCUCAACCCAUAAACUGCAUUUGAAACUGUAGAGCUUGAGUGAAGUAGAGGCAGGCGGAAUUCCCCGUGUAGCGGUGAAAUGCGUAGAGAUGGGGAGGAACACCAGUGGCGAAGGCGGCCUGCUGGGCUUUAACUGACGCUGAGGCACGAAAGCGUGGGUAGCAAACAGGAUUAGAUACCCUGGUAGUCCACGCUGUAAACGAUGAUUACUAGGUGUGGGGGGUCUGACCCCUUCCGUGCCGGAGUUAACACAAUAAGUAAUCCACCUGGGGAGUACGGCCGCAAGGUUGAAACUCAAAGGAAUUGACGGGGGCCCGCACAAGCAGUGGAGUAUGUGGUUUAAUUCGAAGCAACGCGAAGAACCUUACCAGGUCUUGACAUCCAACUAACGAAGUAGAGAUACAUUAGGUGCCCUUCGGGGAAAGUUGAGACAGGUGGUGCAUGGUUGUCGUCAGCUCGUGUCGUGAGAUGUUGGGUUAAGUCCCGCAACGAGCGCAACCCUUGCUAUUAGUUGCUACGCAAGAGCACUCUAAUAGGACUGCCGUUGACAAAACGGAGGAAGGUGGGGACGACGUCAAAUCAUCAUGCCCCUUAUGACCUGGGCUACACACGUACUACAAUGGAUGUUAACAGAGGGAAGCAAGACAGCGAUGUGGAGCAAACCCCUAAAAACAUUCUCAGUUCAGAUUGCAGGCUGCAACCCGCCUGCAUGAAGAUGGAAUUGCUAGUAAUCGCGGAUCAGCAUGCCGCGGUGAAUACGUUUCCG
Molecule: ribosomal RNA, 1000 nt
Filed under: uncultured organism
Description: bacterial SSU rRNA
Rfam family: Bacterial small subunit ribosomal RNA
Source: RNAcentral